GGGGGUGUGGCUCAGCGGUAGAGCACUCGCCUGGCAUGUGAGACCCCUAGUUCCAUCCUCA
RNAcentral lists this transfer RNA (61 nucleotides) under Ictidomys tridecemlineatus (thirteen-lined ground squirrel). RNAcentral describes it as "Spermophilus tridecemlineatus (thirteen-lined ground squirrel) tRNA". It matches the Rfam family "tRNA". Rfam says of the family: Transfer RNA (tRNA) molecules are approximately 80 nucleotides in length. The record is from Rfam by way of RNAcentral. Lineage: Eukaryota; Metazoa; Chordata; Mammalia; Rodentia; Sciuridae.